This 220-nucleotide long non-coding RNA is filed under the name Ananas comosus (pineapple). Its description in RNAcentral is "long non-coding RNA (ACOM_LNC025455)". The record is from RNAcentral. Lineage: Eukaryota; Viridiplantae; Streptophyta; Magnoliopsida; Poales; Bromeliaceae.
GAAGAACAGGCUGGUGGGUUGUUCUGGAUCAACCAGUUAAAAAUUCUUCCUAGGGGAACUGAGAACAACUUUGUUCCUCUCUUUAAUUUUUAAAUAAUUCUACUAGCGCAGAUCAUGUCUAACGAAGUGGAUCGUUGAAUCGGAUAUUCCAUCAUCGAAAAUAAUUUAUAAGUACGGAUGCCUUUGUGUUUUUGAAAGUGUACGGAUGCCUUCGGAUAUU